Molecule: ribosomal RNA, 438 nt
Filed under: Didymella macrostoma
Lineage: Eukaryota; Fungi; Ascomycota; Dothideomycetes; Pleosporales; Didymellaceae
Description: eukaryotic LSU rRNA
Rfam family: 5.8S ribosomal RNA (bases 107-260)
Source: RNAcentral
ACCCAUGUCUUUUGAGUACUUACGUUUCCUCGGUGGGUUCGCCCGCCGAUUGGACAAUUUAAACCCUUUGCAGUUGCAAUCAGCGUCUGAAAAACAUAAUAGCUACAACUUUCAACAACGGAUCUCUUGGUUCUGGCAUCGAUGAAGAACGCAGCGAAAUGCGAUAAGUAGUGUGAAUUGCAGAAUUCAGUGAAUCAUCGAAUCUUUGAACGCACAUUGCGCCCCUUGGUAUUCCAUGGGGCAUGCCUGUUCGAGCGUCAUUUGUACCUUCAAGCUUUGCUUGGUGUUGGUGUUUGUCUCGCCUUUGCGUGUAGACUCGCCUUAAAACAAUUGGCAGCCGGCGUAUUGAUUUCGGAGCGCAGUACAUCUCGCGCUUUGCACUCAUAACGACGACGUCCAAAAGUACUUUUUUACAUUCUUGACCUCGGAUCAGGUAGG